CAGCAGCCGCGGUAAUACGUAGGUGGCAGGCGUUGUCCGGAAUUAUUGGGCGUAAAGGGCUCGCAGGCGGUUUCUUAAGUCUGAUGUGAAAGCCCCCGGCUCAACCGGGGAGGGUCAUUGGAAACUGGGAAACUUGAGUGCAGAAGAGGAGAGUGGAAUUCCACGUGUAGCGGUGAAAUGCGUAGAGAUGUGGAGGAACACCAGUGGCGAAGGCGACUCUCUGGUCUGUAACUGACGCUGAGGAGCGAAAGCGUGGGGAGCGAACAGGAUUAGAUACCCGGGUAGUCCCUGUCUCUUAUAC
RNAcentral lists this ribosomal RNA (301 nucleotides) under uncultured bacterium. RNAcentral describes it as "partial 16S ribosomal RNA". It matches the Rfam family "Bacterial small subunit ribosomal RNA", at positions 509 to 807 of the family's 1533-position model. The record is from RNAcentral.